This 492-nucleotide ribosomal RNA is filed under the name uncultured bacterium. Its description in RNAcentral is "partial 16S ribosomal RNA". It matches the Rfam family "Bacterial small subunit ribosomal RNA", at positions 29 to 507 of the family's 1533-position model. The record is from RNAcentral.
AGUGAACGCUGGCGGUAGGCCUAACACAUGCAAGUCGAACGGCAGCACAGUAAGAGCUUGCUCUUACGGGUGGCGAGUGGCGGACGGGUGAGGAAUACAUCGGAAUCUACUUUUUCGUGGGGGAUAACGUAGGGAAACUUACGCUAAUACCGCAUACGACCUACGGGUGAAAGCAGGGGAUCUUCGGACCUUGCGCGAUUGAAUGAGCCGAUGUCGGAUUAGCUGGUUGGCGGGGUAAAGGCCCACCAAGGCGACGAUCCGUAGCUGGUCUGAGAGGAUGAUCAGCGACACUGGAACUGAGACACGGUCCAGACGCCUACGGGAGGCAGCAGUGGGGAAUAUUAGACAAUGGGCGCAAGCCUGAUCCAGCCAUACCGCGUGGGUGAAGAAGGCCUUCGGGUUGUAAAGCCCUUUUGUUGGGAAAGAAAAGCAGCAGGUUAAUACCCCGCUGUUCUGACGGUACCCAAAUAAUAAGCACCGGCUAACUUCGUG